Molecule: ribosomal RNA, 512 nt
Filed under: uncultured bacterium
Lineage: Bacteria
Description: bacterial SSU rRNA
Rfam family: Bacterial small subunit ribosomal RNA
Source: RNAcentral
AGAAUUUGAUUAUGGCUCAGGAUGAACGCUGGCGGCGUGCUUAACACAUGCAAGUCGAACGAAGCAUUUUACUUAGAUCCCUUCGGGGUGAAGAGUUUAAUGACUUAGUGGCGGACGGGUGAGUAACGCGUGGAUAACCUACCUGGUACUGGGGGAUAACAGUCGGAAACGACUGCUAAUACCGCAUAAGCCUACGGUGUCGCAUGACACAGCAGGAAAAACUCCGGCGGUACCAGAUGGAUCCGCGUCUGAUUAGCUAGUUGGAGGGGUAACGGCCCACCAAGGCAACGAUCAGUAGCCGGCUUGAGAGAGUGACCGGCCACAUUGGGACUGAGACACGGCCCAAACUCCUACGGGAGGCAGCAGUGGGGAAUAUUGCACAAUGGGGGAAACCCUGAUGCAGCAACGCCGCGUGAGUGAAGAGGUAUUUCGGUAUGUAAAGCUCUAUCAGCAGGGAAGAUUAUGACGGUACCUGACUAAGAAGCCCCGGCUAACUACGUGCCAGCCGCCGC